RNAcentral lists this transfer RNA (74 nucleotides) under Phycisphaeraceae bacterium. RNAcentral describes it as "tRNA-Trp". It matches the Rfam family "tRNA". From Rfam's summary of the family: Transfer RNA (tRNA) molecules are approximately 80 nucleotides in length. Their secondary structure includes four short double-helical elements and three loops (D, anti-codon, and T loops). Further hydrogen bonds mediate the characteristic L-shaped molecular structure. tRNAs have two regions of fundamental functional importance: the anti-codon, which is responsible for specific mRNA codon recognition, and the 3' end, to which the tRNAs corresponding amino acid is attached (by aminoacyl-tRNA synthetases). tRNAs cope with the degeneracy of the genetic code in two manners: having more than one tRNA (with a specific anti-codon) for a particular amino acid; and 'wobble' base-pairing, i.e. permitting non-standard base-pairing at the 3rd anti-codon position. Lineage: Bacteria; Pseudomonadati; Planctomycetota; Phycisphaerae; Phycisphaerales; Phycisphaeraceae. The record is from RNAcentral. RNAcentral also lists the same sequence under 1 other name.
ACGUCGGUAGCUCAAUUUGGUAGAGCAGCGGAUUCCAAAUCCGCAGGUUGCGGGUUCGAGUCCCUCCCGACGUG